AGAGUUUGAUCCUGGCUCAGAACGAACGUUGAUGGCGUGCCUCAUACAUGCAAGUCGAGCGGAGUAGCAAUACUCAGCGGCGGACGGGUGAGUAACACGUAAACAAUCUGCCCUGAAGCGGGGAAUAACUAUCCCAACGGAUAGCUAAUACCGCAUAAUGAUGGAGACGGCAUCGUCUUUUCUCAAAAGGCUUCGGCCACUUCAGGAUGAGUUUGCGUCCCAUUAGCUUGUUGGCGGUGUAAUAGACCACCAAGGCGACGAUGGGUAUCCGGCCUGAGAGGGUGUACGGACACAUUGGGACUGAGAUACGGCCCAGACUCCUACGGGAGGCAGCAGUAGGGAAUUUUGCGCAAUGGAGGAAACUCUGACGCAGCAACGCCAUGUGUGGGAUGAAGCAUUUCGGUGUGUAAACCACUGUCAGCGGGGAAUAAAUGGUCGCUUCGGCGGCAGUUGAAUGUACCCGCAAAGGAAGCCCCGGCUAACUUCGUGCCAGCAGCCGCGGUAAUACGAGGGGGGCAAAUGUUGUUCGGAAUCACUGGGCGUAAAGGGAGCGUAGGCGGGCUCUUAAGUUAGGUGUUUAAUCCCGGGGCCCAACCCCGGACAGGCACUUAAAACUGGGAGUCUUGAAUAGUGGAGAGGUCGGCGGAAUUGGGGGGUGUAGCGGUGGAAUGCGUAGAGAUCCCCAAGAACACCAGUUGCGAAGGCGGCCGACUGGACACAUAUUGACGCUGAGGCUCGAAAGCAUGGGGAGCAAACAGGAUUAGAUACCCCAGUAGUCC
Molecule: ribosomal RNA, 779 nt
Filed under: uncultured bacterium
Lineage: Bacteria
Description: bacterial SSU rRNA
Rfam family: Bacterial small subunit ribosomal RNA
Source: RNAcentral